CCAGACUCCUACGGGAGGCAGCAGUGAGGAAUAUUGGUCAAUGGCCGAGAGGCUGAACCAGCCAAGUCGCGUGAGGGAUGACGGCCCUACGGGUUGUAAACCUCUUUUGCCGGGGAGCAACGGGGUCCUUGCGAGGGCCCGAUGAGAGUACCCGGAGAAAAAGCAUCGGCUAACUCCGUGCCAGCAGCCGCGGUAAUACGGAGGAUGCGAGCGUUAUCCGGAUUUAUUGGGUUUAAAGGGUGCGUAGGCGGAAUAUCAAGUCAGCGGUAAAAAUUCGGGGCUCAACCCCGUCGUGCCGUUGAAACUGAUGUUCUUGAGUGGGCGAGAAGUAUGCGGAAUGCGUGGUGUAGCGGUGAAAUGCAUAGAUAUCACGCAGAACUCCGAUUGCGAAGGCAGCAUACCGGCGCCCAACUGACGCUGAAGCACGAAAGCGUGGGUAUCGAACAGGAUUAGAUACCCUGGUA
This 464-nucleotide ribosomal RNA is filed under the name uncultured bacterium. RNAcentral describes it as "bacterial SSU rRNA". It matches the Rfam family "Bacterial small subunit ribosomal RNA", at positions 331 to 792 of the family's 1533-position model. The record is from RNAcentral.